This 468-nucleotide ribosomal RNA is filed under the name uncultured bacterium. RNAcentral describes it as "partial 16S ribosomal RNA". It matches the Rfam family "Bacterial small subunit ribosomal RNA", at positions 28 to 507 of the family's 1533-position model. The record is from RNAcentral.
GACGAACGCUGGCGGCGUGCUUAACACAUGCAAGUCGAACGGAAAGGCCCUGCUUUUGUGGGGUGCUCGAGUGGCGAACGGGUGAGUAACACGUGAGUAACCUGCCCUUGACUUUGGGAUAACUUCAGGAAACUGGGGCUAAUACCGGAUAGGAGCUCCUGCUGCAUGGUGGGGGUUGGAAAGUUUCGGCGGUUGGGGAUGGACUCGCGGCUUAUCAGCUUGUUGGUGGGGUAGUGGCUUACCAAGGCUUUGACGGGUAGCCGGCCUGGGAGGGUGACCGGCGUCAUUGGGACUGAGAUACGCGCCAGACUCCUACGGGAGGCAGCAGUUGGGAAUAUUGCACAAUGGGCGGAAGCCUGAUGCAGCAACGCCGCGUGCGGGAUGACGGCCUUCGGGUUGUAAACCGCUUUCGCCUGUAACGAAGCGUGAGUGACGGUAAUGGGUAAAGAAGCACCGGCUAACUACGUG